CAGCCACCCAAGCUGCAGGUGUGGAUCCGAGCCUCCCUGUGCUCUUAGGGGAGGGCCAGGAGCAGGGAGGAUCUGCCUUCCCGGGUGCCAGUGUGGCUGCUGCCGCCCUCCUAGGUGCAGGAGCCGGGUGUCUCUGCAGCCUGCACCUUUGGAGGCCCCAGGAAGGAAACCCCUCUCCCCUAUCUUUGCAGGCUCAAAGAUGUCUGCCCGGACUCUCUCCAUUCCCGGCAUCUGCUCCCAUCUCCAAGCAGGGUUGGGGUCGAGCCCCAGGGCCAUGAAUGGCAGCAGGAGGCAGAGUUCUGAACGGAAUGGGUCCUCAGUAAGGCCUCACCUUUGGGCCAGGGAGAGCCUGAAGGCUGGGCUCUUCUGGGCCCUCCCAUGGUCAUUCAUGGGCUAGUAAGCAUGCACUUCUUCCCCUCUGAGGUCCAUAAAAGCCCUGAGCUCAGCCAGAGGAGGGCAGAGGAUGGACAGAGGAUGAAGAGGGCAGAGAGAUGACGGGACCCGACGACCACUAGCUGUAGAUAGCUGCAGAGAGGAGCAGAUAGCUGCAGAGAUGAGUACCAUCUCAGCUGAUAGCUGAGGAUGAUGGGAAGACAAGCUGCCCAGAGGAGUACCCUCUCUGCUGAGGCUGCAGACAGUGACCUGCUGGCAGAGAGAAGCUGCCUCCUCUGCUGAGAACUUCAGAGACCUGCAGAGACAUGGGAAUGACUUGCCUGUGGAGAGGAGACACCCUCUCGAGGGCCUCCUCUCUGCUAGGAGCUGAACACUCUGCUGGACGAACUGCCUACAGAGAGGAGCUACCCACUCCUCUGAGCUAUCCUAACACUAAAUAAAACUCUUCUACACCCUUCACUUGUCUGCGUACCUCAUUCUUUCUGGAUGCAGGACAAGGGCUCAGGCAAAAGUGAUGUGGCCACAGAGGUUUCCAGCCAGAAAAAUCAACACCCAGAGAUCCCAUAACACUUGAUCCAGUCAAACAUACCUCAUUGUAUA
Molecule: long non-coding RNA, 993 nt
Filed under: Homo sapiens (human)
Lineage: Eukaryota; Metazoa; Chordata; Mammalia; Primates; Hominidae
Description: HSALNT0052258
Source: RNAcentral